This is a long non-coding RNA of Gadus morhua (Atlantic cod), 1635 nucleotides long. RefSeq lists it as uncharacterized. The record is from RefSeq and is a predicted model, not a curated record. NCBI's taxonomy places the organism in Eukaryota, Metazoa, Chordata, Actinopteri, Gadiformes, Gadidae. The transcript has 3 exons.
AAUGCAAUAAAUAAUGCAAAUGUACAUAACUAAAUGUCAGAGGUAGUAGCAAAGAUAUGUAUUUUUUAACUUUCACGUUUCUUGGAGCUCUAACUGAAUUAUCACAAUCGCGUUUCUAGUAGUGUUGUCAGUCACGAUACUGGAUUUCCUAACUUCGAAACUAUACCUGGAAAAAAAAAAAAAUAGAUAUAUAUUCUAUACCAAUUUCGAUAUCAGGGGAAAAGUUUUUUUCAGGAAAAAACAUACCCAAUGUAAAUGGAGUAUAUCUCCACAACUGAGAGGGCGAUAAUGUCAUCUUUGUGCCAAAAGAAAGAUUGUUGUGCAAGUGAAAUAUUAUUCAAUGGGGAUAAUACUUGGUUAAAGUGAAUAAAGCCAUGGAACACAGCGUAAGUGCACUGUAAAAAAUGAUUUUUUGGCCCUGUAAUUAUUAUUUCAAUUAUGUAUGUAAAUUCUACAAAGAAAUCCGAAUUCAGUGCUUUUACUUUAAAAUACCAGUUUUAAUGUAGUGUAGUUACUUGGUGAUUGUUUGUAAUUAUGUCUACUCAGUUUUGUAUGUAAAUUAAAUCAUUCGAUCCAAGUAAUAUUCACUAAACCAGUUCAUUGGCCUAAUUAGUUGAUAUUUCCAAGUAAAAUGUACUUGAGUGAUAUCAGUGAACCUGGCAACUUUCACGAACAUUCGGAGCAUGACGUCAAAGCCCCUCCCCACAUUUGAACGGUCUUUCGUCCGAGACGUGCUGUACUCCAGUGACAGUCCAAGUUCCACAUUUCAACUGGGUUGGCAGACUUUGUUGAAUGAGAUGGGGAAGAUGAACGUGAAUGAACCACGAAGCAUCAUGUCGACGGCAGAAGGGACAUUAUCAUCCGUUGCUUAGUUGAGUAUCUUGGAGAGAGUGGAGAGGAGCUGAUCAAAGACUAUCAGGACGUCAGCCAAGAAGCAGUGAAAGAGGACUGCAGUAAUCACAUGAUGCAGGGCAACGUCAUCCAUCCCAAUGUGGCACAGGAAAUCCAAGAUCCUGUGUAUGUGUCAGUCAUCAUCAAGUGUGACAAACGCUUGCCUCCUGCUCAUGGGUGUCAUCUAUGCUGUAAACUUAAGUUACCCACUUAAACUGAAAUAUACGUUUGAAGUAUUUCAGAAGCCGUUUCUUGAGCUUGACGUCAUUACAAUGUCACCAAAGCUCCAGUUUCUCCACGAUAAACUUUUAGCGUGAGCGUUCCAGUGCUAUUUGUGCUUUUGUCCAGCACAAACAAUCUCUUUACUUUUGUCAUUUUUCUGACUGAAAUUUCAAGUUUUGCUUAGUUUUUAAGUUAUUUCUGUCAUGAACAUCCUGAGAAUGUCUGCAAAGGUAGCCAUUGCAGUUUAUGUAUGCAUUCUUUGCUGUUCUGAAAAGUCAACUGUAACACUGUAUUCGUUUGUAUGCUGGAAUAUCAGUCCUAAAGUCAGUUGGUGCUUUGCCAUUCCGCAUUGAAUUUUUCAAAUCCUAAACGGCUUUACUUUUGAGCUUUUGUGUGUGUGUGUGUGUGUGUGUGUACACUGUUUUCAAAUUUGCUAGCAGGAAGUUCUAUGUGGUUAUGUUAUGUAUUUUAAAUACAUCCAUGCCAUUUCAAAUGUGAAAUAAAAGUGUAUUUCAAACAUCC